GCUUAAGUGGCAUAGUGGUUUGAGUUUUGGGAUUACAACUCCGGAGACCAGGGUUCGAUUCCCAACUCAGCCA
Molecule: non-coding RNA, 73 nt
Organism: Phrynosoma platyrhinos (Desert horned lizard)
Lineage: Eukaryota; Metazoa; Chordata; Lepidosauria; Squamata; Phrynosomatidae
Source: the annotation of a GenBank genome assembly